This is a non-coding RNA of Pogona vitticeps (central bearded dragon), 545 nucleotides long. The record is from RefSeq and is a predicted model, not a curated record. NCBI's taxonomy places the organism in Eukaryota, Metazoa, Chordata, Lepidosauria, Squamata, Agamidae.
CAGCUGCAACUGCUGGGUUUCUGUGGCUAAGUAAAUGAAGUCAAGAAAAAGCAGCAGUUUUGGAAUGAAGAUAUGUGUUUCAUGACUCACGUUUGAUUGAAAGACAGAGUGAUAUCAAGGCCAGUUUGCUGUCAGCAUUUAAGUACGGAUUUUUCAUAAAACUCUGUUUUCUGGAGUUACUACCUCCUUAAAGAACGGAGCUUGAAAAAGGAUCUUUUAGGAAUGUUGUUAUGUGCUGUCAGGUCGGAACUGACUUAUAAUGGACUUAACUGGGCUUUCAAGAUGCCACUGUCUACAUAUGGAGCAGCCUGCCUUUUCAUUGGCUUCUCGGGCAUACGUAUCAUAAAGCCAAGAUGUUGCAUCUCUCCAGAGUACUCAUGAAAUUACAAUGAAAUUCAACAUCUAUAUUACUUAAAUUUUUAUGUUACACAGUAUUUUUGAAAGGCUAAGGCUGAAAUCCUAUGGUCCUUAGGAGCCAAAGUUUGAACUCUGCAUAAAGAAGCCGUUCAAUACCAUUUUAACUGCUGUGACUCCAAUCCUAUGGA